This 1283-nucleotide ribosomal RNA is filed under the name Staphylococcus pragensis. Its description in RNAcentral is "bacterial SSU rRNA". It matches the Rfam family "Bacterial small subunit ribosomal RNA", at positions 56 to 1320 of the family's 1533-position model. Lineage: Bacteria; Bacillati; Bacillota; Bacilli; Caryophanales; Staphylococcaceae. The record is from RNAcentral.
UGCAAGUCGAGCGAACAGACGAGGAGCUUGCUCCUCUGACGUUAGCGGCGGACGGGUGAGUAACACGUGGGUAACCUACCUAUAAGACUGGGAUAACUCCGGGAAACCGGAGCUAAUACCGGAUAAUAUUUUGAACCGCAUGGUUCAAAAGUGAAAGAUGGUUUUGCUAUCACUUAUAGAUGGACCCGCGCCGUAUUAGCUAGUUGGUAAGGUAACGGCUUACCAAGGCGACGAUACGUAGCCGACCUGAGAGGGUGAUCGGCCACACUGGAACUGAGACACGGUCCAGACUCCUACGGGAGGCAGCAGUAGGGAAUCUUCCGCAAUGGGCGAAAGCCUGACGGAGCAACGCCGCGUGAGUGAUGAAGGUCUUCGGAUCGUAAAACUCUGUUAUUAGGGAAGAACAUACGUGUAAGUAACUGUGCACGUCUUGACGGUACCUAAUCAGAAAGCCACGGCUAACUACGUGCCAGCAGCCGCGGUAAUACGUAGGUGGCAAGCGUUAUCCGGAAUUAUUGGGCGUAAAGCGCGCGUAGGCGGUUUUUUAAGUCUGAUGUGAAAGCCCACGGCUCAACCGUGGAGGGUCAUUGGAAACUGGAAAACUUGAGUGCAGAAGAGGAAAGUGGAAUUCCAUGUGUAGCGGUGAAAUGCGCAGAGAUAUGGAGGAACACCAGUGGCGAAGGCGACUUUCUGGUCUGUAACUGACGCUGAUGUGCGAAAGCGUGGGGAUCAAACAGGAUUAGAUACCCUGGUAGUCCACGCCGUAAACGAUGAGUGCUAAGUGUUAGGGGGUUUCCGCCCCUUAGUGCUGCAGCUAACGCAUUAAGCACUCCGCCUGGGGAGUACGACCGCAAGGUUGAAACUCAAAGGAAUUGACGGGGACCCGCACAAGCGGUGGAGCAUGUGGUUUAAUUCGAAGCAACGCGAAGAACCUUACCAAAUCUUGACAUCCUUUGACAACUCUAGAGAUAGAGCUUUCCCCUUCGGGGGACAAAGUGACAGGUGGUGCAUGGUUGUCGUCAGCUCGUGUCGUGAGAUGUUGGGUUAAGUCCCGCAACGAGCGCAACCCUUAAGCUUAGUUGCCAUCAUUUAGUUGGGCACUCUAAGUUGACUGCCGGUGACAAACCGGAGGAAGGUGGGGAUGACGUCAAAUCAUCAUGCCCCUUAUGAUUUGGGCUACACACGUGCUACAAUGGACAAUACAAAGGGUAGCGAAACCGCGAGGUCAAGCAAAUCCCAUAAAGUUGUUCUCAGUUCGGAUUGUAGUCUGCAACUCGACUACA